This 2618-nucleotide long non-coding RNA is filed under the name Equus caballus (horse). RNAcentral describes it as "lncRNA (ENSECAG00000045657.1)". The record is from RNAcentral. Lineage: Eukaryota; Metazoa; Chordata; Mammalia; Perissodactyla; Equidae.
CCGCCCCGCGCGCCCGGCCCCGUCCUUAAGCGAGUUGCCGCGCGUUCCCCCACGGCCACCAGGGGGCGGCAGCGGCGCGCCUCUCCCAGGCAGCCCCGCGCCCCUUCCGCCUCCCACGGAGUUUGCAAAACAGACUUUUCCGGUUUUCGACGAGGGCAGGGGGAGGGGGAGAGGCUGAGAUUGAAACCAAGAGAUGCUGAAUUUUGUGGCAAAAGAGACAGGCCUCUGGGUGAGGGAGGUCUGGCAGCCGACAAGGCCAGGGGGCAGUGGUCCCGGCCCCGCCGCUUGGGGAGCCUCCGUUUGCCCUCUGCUUCCAGGUGGGGAAACUGAGGCCAUGGCCCAGGUGCUUUAGCUGCCGCGGGGCUGGCUGCUCCGCAAAUGCUCCUCUCUUGGAGUUGCCACCUCCUCGCGUUUGCUCAAGCGUUUGCUGACGCUGCCAUCCGGCGUGCCCUCCCUUGAAGAUCGCUCUCCGCAUCCUUUCGGCUGGGCUCCAGCCCUUGGAGGAGGCCUGGACAGCGGCAGGGCCAAGUGGACAGACAGUAGGGAUGCAGGGUCAGCGGCCUCCCGAGAAGGACCGGAAUGACCUCAGCCCUGGGGCUCAGAGCUCCCCCCUCAAUUCCAGAUGCCCCCCCCCCCCGACCCCCCUCACAGCGGAGCCUCCGGGGAGCUAAAUACCCCCAUGCAGGCUGUCUUGGGCCCACUAAGUAGCACAGGACUCUGUUUGGUGGCCCCUGGAGUUGUUCGAAAACGUACCUCCAGGCACAGCCCUCUGGUCAAGGGGUUGGAGUUAGGCCUUCACUGAGCAGGGCUUGGGGUGCUGCUGAAGUGAGUGGGGAAAAUGGGCACCCUGUUUCUACUGGGAGAAGACUGAGCCUGCCUGGAGAGAAGCUGCAGGGAGGACACCAGUACAGAGAAAAGGAGCCCUAGUCCCUGGAUGCAGCCAUGCCUGAAGCCCACCACCUGGGAUUUUCUUUUUCAUCAGAUUCCUUUUUGUUGAAGCCACUUUGAGUUCUGUUUCUGCUGCCAGGAAAUGACCCACAGGAGUUCCUCUCUGGGCUUCCGCUUGCCCAUAUGUAAAAGAAAAAGUUCAGAGCACUGGUUGGGUCCCUACCUCAUGGGUUGAGCAGUCCUGCUUAGCAGAGCUCUGGGCCAGUGAUACUGAGCUCCUGCUGUGUACUCAGUAUUUGGGGCUCCUCUGAGCGGCAGUCCCUCAGCUGCUCCCCACAGCUCCAGGAGUUCAGACUGUGGUAGUCUCCGUUUCACAGCUUCGUUCAUUCAUUGAUUCGGAAGGUCAGCGUUGAGCACCUACUGUAUACCAAGCCCAGUCCCACACAGGGGGCGCUGUCAUGGAGCCGGAGAGCCGGGCCUGGCGUGAGCUGUUCACAGAUGCUUCCUGCUGCGGCUCAGCCUGCGCGGGUGCCGCAGCCCGGGUGGCAGUAGGGUCCCAGUCUGGCGGCCUCUCCAGAGCCCUCGCCGCCCCCCUCCCACACCCCCAUCUCUAGCUCUCCUGGUCUGACUCCUCUUCACCCCAGCUCCCACCAAGAAGUGGGAAGCAUGUCUCCAUCCGGGAGGCAGGCUGCCUCAGUUUAUCUCCCCGGAUACCUUCCCCCUCUGUCUGUCCAGCAGCCUCUGGGUUUGGUCAGAAAGAGCUGUUUUCUCUGCCUCUGCCCCCGCCCCUGAGCCAGUGCACUGCAGGGCAUGACACGGGCACGCCUGCCCCACUUCUGCACCCUCGCCUGUCCCUUCUCUUUUUUUAAAAGAUAUAUUCACUUACCAUGCAAUUCACCCCUUUACAGUAAACAAUUCGGUGGCAUUUAGUGCAUUCAUCUUGUGCAUGUUGUGCAACCAUCUCUACCUAGUUCUGGAACAUUUCCAUCAUCCCCCUCCCCGCCCGCCUCCCCAGCCCCGGCACCCACCCACGUGCUUCUGUCUGUGCUUUGCCUGUUCUGGACGUUUCGUAUAAAUGGGAUCGUGCGCCAUGUGGCCUUUGUGUCUGUUCUGCCAGGGACACUUGGGUUGCCACCCCCUUGGCGAGUGUCAGCCGUGCUGCCGUGAGCACCGUGUACAGGUUUUGGCGUGCACGCCUGUUUUCAGAUCUCCAGGUCUGGCCCCAGGAGAGGGACUGCCGGUCACGGGGUCGUCCUGGGUUCACCUGACUGAGUUGCCGCCAGACAGUGUUCCGCUUGGCCGCACACUGGGCGGCGGCUGGGCAGGGGCGUGGGUUCCAGUCCCCGCGUCCUCAUCGGCGCCUCUGUCUGCCCUCUUGGGUGGGCGGCCUGCCGCGUGGGCGGGGCCCUGGUCUCACUGGUCCCCUGAACUUCGCAGGCGCCUAUGGGCCACGCGUCCCUUUGCAGAAAUGUCCACUCAAACCCUUUGCUUGGUUUUCAUCGGGUUAUGUCUCUUUCCGUUAUUGAUUCUUUAUCUGUGCUGCACGUGAAUCCCUUGUCAGAUCAUGAUUUGCAAGUAUUUCCUCCCACUCCGCGGGCUGUCUUUGCACUUGUGAGCGUCCUUGGAGGAAGAAAUUUUAACCUUGAUGGGGUCCCAUCCCUGUAUUUCCUUUCCCUCGCUGUGCCUGAGGUCCCAUCUGAGCACCCUCCUCUCCAGUGCCCCCUUGCGCC